GACGAACGCUGGCGGCGUGCUUAACACAUGCAAGUCGAACGGAAAGGCCCUGCUUUUGUGGGGUGCUCGAGUGGCGAACGGGUGAGUAACACGUGAGUAACCUGCCCUUGACUUUGGGAUAACUUCAGGAAACUGGGGCUAAUACCGGAUAGGAGCUCCUGCUGCAUGGUGGGGGUUGGAAAGUUUCGGCGGUUGGGGAUGGACUCGCGGCUUAUCAGCUUGUUGGUGGGGCAGUGGCUUACCAAGGCUUGGACGGGUAGCCGGCCUGAGAGGGUGAGAGAGCACAGUGGGAGGAGGAAGCGGCGCAGACUCCAAGGGGGGGAGAGGGUGGCGAAUAUAGCAAUAGGGAGGAAAGCCUAGAUCAACAACGCCGGGGGUGGGAUGGGGGCGUUCGGGUAUCAACCGUGUUUCGCAUGUGACGAAGUGGAUGUGGGGAUAAUGGGGAAAGAAACGCGGAGGAAUUUGGUU
Molecule: ribosomal RNA, 468 nt
Filed under: uncultured bacterium
Lineage: Bacteria
Description: partial 16S ribosomal RNA
Rfam family: Bacterial small subunit ribosomal RNA (bases 13-373)
Source: RNAcentral